AAAAAGCGCGAGGAAGGACACAAGGAAAGUCCUCACUAUCCUUAUUAUACACCAUUCAUCACACGUAGAGCUUAUUUAGCAUUACUGACGCUUUCAUCAAUAGGGAAAAUGUACUCAUGCAAGAUGAGGAUAACGAACAGUGAUCAAUCUCAUAACUCCUAUAAGCAAUACAAAGUAGAUAGUUGGGCAAACACGGACCCCUGGACACACCAGAGGUGGGAUCAGGUGCCUAGGAGGAGUAAGCAUCCCCUGUUGACCGGUCACACCCGCCGUGAGCCCUGUAUCCUGAUCAGGGACGAAGGCCGGAAAGCAACGAAACCAACUACUGAAUACUCUUGAUACUCUGCAAGACGGACUGGUUUUAUGAACAACAUGCAGUUGAAACUUCACCCAGAUGUGGAAACCAAUGACAGCGAGAAGCCUCAUACAGCACUCUCAACCUUCUUACUUAUUGCGUUCGUGAUACUAGGGACUAUUUUAUGUCAUGUUAUAUUGUGUGUAAUCAGUUCCUUGUGUAAAAGACUCUUCCGUUCGAAAA
Ostrea edulis (European flat oyster) is the source of this 538-nucleotide long non-coding RNA. RefSeq lists it as uncharacterized. The record is from RefSeq and is a predicted model, not a curated record. NCBI's taxonomy places the organism in Eukaryota, Metazoa, Mollusca, Bivalvia, Ostreida, Ostreidae. The transcript is spliced from 3 exons.